RNAcentral lists this ribosomal RNA (253 nucleotides) under uncultured bacterium. RNAcentral's name for it is "partial 16S ribosomal RNA". It matches the Rfam family "Bacterial small subunit ribosomal RNA", at positions 524 to 776 of the family's 1533-position model. The record is from RNAcentral.
UACGUAGGGGGCAAGCGUUGUCCGGAAUUACUGGGCGUAAAGCGCGUGUAGGCGGGACGGCAAGUCUGACGUGAAAGGCUGGGGCUCAACCCCAGAUCGCCGUUGGAAACUGCCGUUCUUGAGGGUCGAAGAGGAGAGUGGAAUUCCUGGUGUAGCGGUGAAAUGCGUAGAGAUCAGGAGGAACACCCGUGGCGAAGGCGGCUCUCUGGUCGACAUCUGACGCUGAGACGCGAAAGCGUGGGGAGCGAACGGG